UCAUAGAGGGUGAGAAUCCCGUAUUUGACCAUUAUUUUCAGCUGUGUGAUACACUUUCAAAGAGUCGGAUUGUUUGGGAACGCAGUCCAAAAUGGGUGGUAAAUUUCAUCUAAAGCUAAAUAUUGGCGAGAGACCGAUAGCGAACAAGUACCGUGAGGGAAAGAUGAAAAGAACUUUGAAAAGAGAGUUAAACAGUACGUGAAAUUGUCAAAAGGGAAGCGUUUGACACCAGUGUUGUUUUCUCGAAAAUCAAUUAAAAAAAGUUGGAUUUUGUGUUUGUAUGACCUUAACAGCUUCUUUCACUUUUUUCCUGCUUUUUUUAAUGCACUUUUCGUUUAACAAGUCAACAUCAGUUUCUUUUGUUGUAAAAAGGUCAUUGGAAGGUGGCUUUCUUUUCGGAGAAAGUGUUUAUAGCCUUUGACUCCUGCAAUCGGAGAGACUGAGGUCUGCAGCGUAGAUCCUUCGGGGUUAGAUACAUUUGUGCUAAGUUAUAGCUUUUCAUAGACAACUUGUUGACUAUGUUUAGUCAUGUAGCUUACUCGCUUAUGCUAUUUUACCUACGCUUAGGAUGUUGA
This 575-nucleotide ribosomal RNA is filed under the name uncultured Neocallimastigomycetes. RNAcentral's name for it is "partial large subunit ribosomal RNA". It matches the Rfam family "Eukaryotic large subunit ribosomal RNA", at positions 202 to 629 of the family's 3401-position model. Lineage: Eukaryota; Fungi; Neocallimastigomycota; Neocallimastigomycetes. The record is from RNAcentral.